RNAcentral lists this ribosomal RNA (497 nucleotides) under uncultured bacterium. RNAcentral describes it as "partial 16S ribosomal RNA". It matches the Rfam family "Bacterial small subunit ribosomal RNA", at positions 28 to 507 of the family's 1533-position model. The record is from RNAcentral.
GAUGAACGCUGGCGGCGUGCCUAAUACAUGCAAGUCGAGCGAACAGACGAGGAGCUUGCUCCUUCGACGUUAGCGGCGGACGGGUGAGUAACACGUAGGUAACCUACCUAUAAGACUGGGAUAACUUCGGGAAACCGGAGCUAAUACCGGAUAAUAUUUCGAACCGCAUGGUUCGAUAGUGAAAGAUGGCUUUGCUAUCACUUAUAGAUGGACCUGCGCCGUAUUAGCUAGUUGGUAAGGUAACGGCUUACCAAGGCAACGAUACGUAGCCGACCUGAGAGGGUGAUCGGCCACACUGGAACUGAGACACGGUCCAGACUCCUACGGGAGGCAGCAGUAGGGAAUCUUCCGCAAUGGGCGAAAGCCUGACGGAGCAACGCCGCGUGAGUGAUGAAGGUCUUCGGAUCGUAAAACUCUGUUAUUAGGGAAGAACAAACGUGUAAGUAACUGUGCACGUCUUGACGGUACCUAAUCAGAAAGCCACGGCCAACUACGUG